AAUAUUCUCAACACAAAAAGGCGUUGAGACAGGUCACGUGCCCAGCAUGUGAUCGUGAGCACGCGUAGGUUAUUGAAAUUUCGUGAGCCCGCUGCCCGCCUAUGUUGAAAUUUUGGGAGAAAAAGCGGUUCCCUUCUCCGUAAACUUUCAAAACACUUUUUCUUGCCCAAUUCAGAUAUUCAUCCCCAAAAUUUUCAUUCUUUCUCUAUCUUCUCUAAUCUUUACAGCCCACUUUCUCUCUCUAUUUUUUUCUACUUCUUCCUCUCAUUAUUUCUGGAAGAUCUCAUUUUUGGUUUGCUCAAUAAUCUGAAUUUCGAAUUAGGAAAAAUGAACAACACCACCAAGACCUUUGAUUUGGGAGAUUGUGAACUGUUAUCUGACCGAGUAAAGCACGAACCUCUUGAAGCUAUUAAUUCAAGGUACUCUUGUUUGCUCUUUUGAACCUUACAAAAUGAACAUGCGUAAAUGACACAAAUCAAAUACAUUCACUACUACAAAAAUCUGAUUUUCUCGACACUAUAGCCUCCACAC
This is a long non-coding RNA of Beta vulgaris subsp. vulgaris (sugar beet), 531 nucleotides long. RefSeq lists it as uncharacterized. The transcript has 3 exons. The record is from RefSeq and is a predicted model, not a curated record. Lineage: Eukaryota; Viridiplantae; Streptophyta; Magnoliopsida; Caryophyllales; Amaranthaceae.